This 891-nucleotide long non-coding RNA is filed under the name Bemisia tabaci. RNAcentral describes it as "lncRNA ENSSSA3NGG011725". The record is from RNAcentral. Lineage: Eukaryota; Metazoa; Arthropoda; Insecta; Hemiptera; Aleyrodidae.
UUGAAUUGCUCUUCCUGCAGGUUAGCAACGGUUCACUCGGAUGUAAAUACUCAAUAUUCAAAGGAGUCCUUAUGCCGGGUAGUAUCACCGGCAUCAAUGAAGAAUAGUUCAAAUAGUAAAAUUACGCAUCCAUAUAGACUUUGUGCGAUGGAAUCAGCGAACAAUCAUUAUCCGAAUGUUCAGCUUAUUAAUAAUCAUUUGAUACGCCAGCAGUCCCUCCAGUAUCUAACUCCGGAGGUGCUUUUUACGUGAGCCCCAAUUCAGGGCCAAGAUAUGAAGUCAAAAUUGGAGCACUCACACCAUCUCAUUUUCCAGUUUACCCCGCAGACUCCAUGGGCUCAGAAGCCUCCGCUAAGACAUCACACCCCGGAUUGUCCAAACCCUGCACGGCGUAUAGUUUAGAGUUCUCCCAACCGGUCGAACUUCCCGUCUCCGGAACAGACAAUGGCACGGAGUAUGGCUUGAAAUGCACGAAACGAGAGCGAAAAAAUUGGUGUCUCGUGGAAAAAAUCCGAAAUUCUCAUGAAAACGAACUAUUAAAGGACCUAAAUGAUGAUCCUCAUUUUUGCUACUGACGUACCAGCUCGUGGGGUCAAAGGUGACGAAAAUCCUUUCUCUAAACUCACAGCAGACGAUAAGAUACGGCUGGUGGAAGAGUUAAAAAAAGAAAUGCCUCUUGGGGAAUGCGCCUUCAUCGAGCGAUUGCAUAGUUUAGAAGAAGAGUUGGACGAAACUGGAUUUCUUGAUUAUUGAUUGACACCGUCCAAUUUCACCACCGUCGUCACAUCUGUUCUUUCUGUAAUGGUACGUGAGUAUCAUCUUUUGUUUUUAAAUUUUUUUACGUAAGUACAACGGACUUACGUCUAUCAGCUUUGUUUUUUUAAACAAAGU